CUCAGGACGAACGCUGGCGGCGUGCCUAAUACAUGCAAGUCGAGCGAAUGGAUGGGAGCUUGCUCCCUGAAGUUAGCGGCGGACGGGUGAGUAACACGUGGGCAACCUGCCUGUAAGACUGGGAUAACUUCGGGAAACCGGAGCUAAUACCGGAUACGUUCUUUCCUCGCAUGAGGAAAGAUGGAAAGACGGUUUCGGCUGUCACUUACAGAUGGGCCCGCGGCGCAUUAGCUAGUUGGUGAGGUAAUGGCUCACCAAGGCCACGAUGCGUAGCCGACCUGAGAGGGUGAUCGGCCACACUGGGACUGAGACACGGCCCAGACUCCUACGGGAGGCAGCAGUAGGGAAUCUUCCGCAAUGGACGAAAGUCUGACGGAGCAACGCCGCGUGAGCGAAGAAGGCCUUCGGGUCGUAAAGCUCUGUUGUUAGGGAAGAAUAAGUGCCAGAGUAACUGCUGGCACCUUGACGGUACCUAACCAGAAAGCCACGGCUAACUACGUGCCAGCAGCCGCGGUAAUACGUAGGUGGCAAGCGUUGUCCGGAAUUAUUGGGCGUAAAGCGCGCGCAGGUGGUUCCUUAAGUCUGAUGUGAAAGCCCACGGCUCAACCGUGGAGGGUCAUUGGAAACUGGGGGACUUGAGUGCAGAAGAGGAAAGUGGAAUUCCAAGUGUAGCGGUGAAAUGCGUAGAGAUUUGGAGGAACACCAGUGGCGAAGGCGACUUUCUGGUCUGUAACGACACUGAGGCGCGAA
Molecule: ribosomal RNA, 750 nt
Filed under: Peribacillus frigoritolerans
Lineage: Bacteria; Bacillati; Bacillota; Bacilli; Caryophanales; Bacillaceae
Description: bacterial SSU rRNA
Rfam family: Bacterial small subunit ribosomal RNA
Source: RNAcentral